This is a long non-coding RNA of Camelus dromedarius (Arabian camel), 1087 nucleotides long. RefSeq lists it as uncharacterized. The record is from RefSeq and is a predicted model, not a curated record. NCBI's taxonomy places the organism in Eukaryota, Metazoa, Chordata, Mammalia, Artiodactyla, Camelidae. The transcript is spliced from 3 exons.
UCGAGGCGGUAGGGUGGGCCGGAGGACUUAAAAAUUAAGCGCUGGUCUCAGGAUGGGUUGACUUGUCACAAAAAAAUGAACCCAAAGACCAUUCUAGUAGGCAACCUUUGCUGACCAGUCACUGCACCUUCCGAUGGCAACUUGUUGCUUGGAUUCUAGUCAGAACCAAAUUUUCGUGUUUGAGGGGAAAUUGGAACCAGGCUCUUUCUCACUCCUCAGAAUCUACCCCGGUUCUACAAAUAUACAAUUGCUCAUUUCAAGGAAACUACCCAUUCUGGGCUUCAUGGAGUCGGUGCUGACGCUUCACAGAGCAUACCAGGCAGAGGAAACAGCGUAUACACAGGCAAAGAGACUAAGUAGACCUGAGUAAGAUUCAGGAAUAAUGAGAAAGUCUGGUCAAGUUUUAGGUUUGCAUGGUGUAAUGUGGAGCAGGGAAGAGGAAUAUAUAAAUCAGACUGGAAGCUUUAGGGAAAGCUCCUUGGAAGAGAAGACGGAACAUCUGAAUUUGGGGCUAGUCGGAGUCUGUUAAAUAAUAAUAACUGAGGAAAGGCAUUCUACUUGGAGGUGGAUCCAAGAAUGCAAAGAACCUAAGGCAGCAAGUCUCUGGGAACUGAAGACACUGAAAGCAGCUGGAAUGAAAGAGACCACAGGGGCCAAACAUGGAGAGACAACUGUGCCCACUAAAGGGCUGAGACCUUAUUCUGGGAAAUGCAGCGAAAUUGCCCCUAUUUUUCUUUUCAUUUGCAGAGAGAAGGGAAGAUCCUUGUGAAAAACAAAGUAAGGCACUGAAAUAAUGCUGUGAAGAUCUAACCACAAAGAGGCCCUAGCUGGGCUAUUCUGGAAAUGCUUCUCUUCGUAAUUUUAUAAAAUGAUCACUCAUGAUCACCAAAUUGUGGAAUUACAGACAGAUUGAAAUGAAGACGAAAGGAAAAGAAGGGUUCAUGGAAGAGAAAAAUAAUCAAAAUAAAAAAUGAGAAAUUGGACCAGAGAGAAUAUAAUAAUUAAACACCAUCGGUGACCAUAGAUCCUGGUUUCCUUUUGGGAAUGCUGUUAGACUCGUUUUCCUUAAUGCUGCAAUGAACAAAAC